GAUGAACGCUGGCGGCGUGCCUAAUACAUGCAAGUCGAGCGAACAGACGAGGAGCUUGCUCCUCUGACGUUAGCGGCGGGCGGGUGAGUAACACGUGGAUAACCUACCUAUAAGACUGGGAUAACUUCGGGAAACCGGAGCUAAUACCGGAUAAUAUAUUGAACCGCAUGGUUCAAUAGUGAAAGACGGUUUUGCUGUCACUUAUAGAUGGAUCCGCGCCGCAUUAGCUAGUUGGUAAGGUAACGGCUUACCAAGGCGACGAUGCGUAGCCGACCUGAGAGGGUGAUCGGCCACACUGGAACUGAGCCACGGUCCAGACGCCUACGGGAGGCAGCAGUAGGGAACCUUCCGCAAUGGGCGGAAGCCUGACGGAGCAACGCCGCGUGAGUGAUGAAGGUCUUCGGAUCGUAAAACUCUGUUAUUAGGGAAGAACAAAUGUGUAAGUAACUAUGCACGUCUUGACGGUACCUAAUCAGAAAGCCACGGCUAACUACGUG
RNAcentral lists this ribosomal RNA (497 nucleotides) under uncultured bacterium. Its description in RNAcentral is "partial 16S ribosomal RNA". It matches the Rfam family "Bacterial small subunit ribosomal RNA", at positions 28 to 507 of the family's 1533-position model. The record is from RNAcentral.